RNAcentral lists this ribosomal RNA (271 nucleotides) under uncultured archaeon. Its description in RNAcentral is "partial 16S ribosomal RNA". It matches the Rfam family "Archaeal small subunit ribosomal RNA", at positions 477 to 747 of the family's 1478-position model. The record is from RNAcentral.
CAGCGUCACGAGUGGCAAUCGUAUUUAUUGGGCCUAAAGCGUCCGUAGCCUGUUUAAUAAGUUUUUUGUGAAAUCGUUGCGCUUAACGUAACGUUGUGCAAAAAAUACUGUCAGACUUGGAACUGGGAAGAGCUAGAGGUAUUCUGGGAGGAGCGGUAAAAUGCUAUAAUCCUCGGAGGACCACCAGUGGCGAAGGCGUCUAGCUAGAACAGAUUCGACGGUGAGGGACGAAAGCCAGGGGAGCAAAACGGAUUAGAGACCCGAGUAGUCC